AAGUCGUAACAAGGUUUCCGUAGGUGAACCUGCGGAAGGAUCAUUAACACGUAUCCAAACGUUAAACCCCCCUGUGAACCUUCAGUCGUACUCGUACGUCCGUUAGAAAAAGCAGCAAUCCCUGGUAAAUCAUCGCCGAACAGUUUUCGAUUCAGGGACGUCUGCAAGGAGCGUGCAUGUUGUGCGUGUAAGUGGCCUGGCAUCCCCAAGCAGUUAGUGUCUGAAAGUGUCACUAACGUUAGUGUCUGAAAGUGUCACUAACAUGUGUAAGGAUGACUGCUCUAUCUAUGGUGAUCCUGCGGGAAGUCCUGCGGUCGAACGCCGAAACCGAACAACUGUUAACAAUGGAUAUCUUGGUUCUC
Molecule: unclassified non-coding RNA, 362 nt
Filed under: fungal sp.
Lineage: Eukaryota; Fungi
Description: partial internal transcribed spacer region
Rfam family: Eukaryotic small subunit ribosomal RNA (bases 1-46)
Source: RNAcentral